Molecule: long non-coding RNA, 1367 nt
Filed under: Phasianus colchicus (ring-necked pheasant)
Lineage: Eukaryota; Metazoa; Chordata; Aves; Galliformes; Phasianidae
Description: lncRNA (ENSPCLG00000000138.1)
Source: RNAcentral
UUUUAAUGUCUGAUUGUUGAUAUUUGAAAACAAUCUCAGUGAAAAACAUCAUGUUUUCUUUUUGCAAGAAGAUUUGAGAUGCCUUUAGCAAUUUACUAUAAUUAUCCUUUUUUUUCUUUUUUUUCCUACUGAAAACUGAACAGUAAAAUAAAUACAAUUGUGGUGAUCUGGAAGAAACAUCUGUGUAAAGGUAGAUUUGACUUCCUGAGAAGGCAUUACACUGAAGGAACGGAGGAUUCCUCACUUAUUCCCGAUAAUAUAUCUGUCAACUGAUUUCAGUGCUACUGGAGCUAGGCUACAUUUUUCCGUGCUAUGAUCAACCUCUGGCAGAGCAAUGGAAGGCCACUUGUGAAGUUAUAGUAUUCCACUGGAAUGGGGAAUGAUUUCAAUGUUAUCUUCAAAAAUAUAAAGUCUAGGUAUACCUGAAAGAAACCUAAAAGAUUUUCUCCAUGACAAAGGGAAAAUGGUACUCUUGCUCCUACUCUAUGGUUUCAUCUGCACAGCACUAGAUGACAUGGAAUGGAAAAGACAGACAGACAGACGGAUAAAAACAUUGCAGUUCCUACAUGCAGAAUCUUCAAAUUUGGAGUGGAUUUCAGGCUGAGUUACAUUCACUGAGAAGUCAGAACAGAAAGUAUGUCACAUUCCAGUGAAGAAAUGAAAGAUUUUGAACCAAGUCAAGGGGCAGAAAUUUCCAUGUUGCCAUGAUUAUCAGCCAUACUGCGGAAGAAAAGAAGAAGAGAAACAAGAAAAAAAAGGUAAAGAAAGCAAAGGUAAAGCUACAAACAAUUUCUUGGUCAUAUUUAUGAGUACAGUGACCACACAUAGUAGAUUUAAAAUAGCUAGUUAAGUUGCACCAGAAGUUUGUUCUCUUUGUGCUUUUUAACUCUACUUACUACUUUCUGCAUCACAUGUUUAACUGUGCUUUUCUGCAAAAAAUUACCCACAAAACACAGGAAAAUUAAAUGUUGCCUUUCCAGAAUUCCAAUUAUUAGAACCCAACUUUUUCUCCGUCAAACACAUACAACUGUCUUUCCCAUUAAGUGAAGUGCCAGAGUGAACUAACAUUGAGCUGAACAAUAGGCAGAACUGGACUGUGAUCUUUUUAAAGGCUCUUUAAUAACUGGAGUGCUUAAUUCAAAGCUGUUCCAUAGAUAAAUCAAUUACUGCGUUAAGUGAAUCUGCCACUAGAACAAUGAGAGAAUAUACCUGCACUAUUUAUGUACAAGCAUAUUUGUAUACUAAAUACAGUAAAUGAACUGGUUGUAAGGAUUUUGUUUGUUUGUUUGUUUGCUUACUUCUUUAUUCAGUUUUUCUUUGUUUAUCCCUAUAUUAUUUAAAAGAAAUAAAAAGAUGAAUAUACUACA